RNAcentral lists this ribosomal RNA (256 nucleotides) under uncultured bacterium. RNAcentral describes it as "partial 16S ribosomal RNA". It matches the Rfam family "Bacterial small subunit ribosomal RNA", at positions 524 to 776 of the family's 1533-position model. The record is from RNAcentral.
UACGUAGGGUGCGAGCGUUUGUCCGGAAUUAUUGGGCGUAAAGAGCUUGUAGGCGGUUUGUCGCGUCUGCUGUGAAAAUCCGGGGCUCAACCCCGGACUUGCAGUGGGUACGGGCAGACUAGAGUGUGGUAGGGGAGACUGGAAUUCCUGGUGUAGCGGUGAAAUGCGCAGAUAUCAGGAGGAACACCGAUGGCGAAGGCAGGUCUCUGGGCCACUACUGACGCUGGAGAAAGCGAAAGCAUGGGGAGCGAACAGG